Molecule: long non-coding RNA, 1197 nt
Filed under: Ailuropoda melanoleuca (giant panda)
Lineage: Eukaryota; Metazoa; Chordata; Mammalia; Carnivora; Ursidae
Description: lncRNA (ENSAMEG00000029717.1)
Source: RNAcentral
AUCAGGUGAGGUACACCUGCCUGGGACUCUAAGCCUCUGAUAGUCCUUUCCCAAUGAACUCGGUGUCACCUCCUGUGGAGUACUUAGGUUCCACUACUGGCACAUUGGAGUUCUCUUCGCCCCAGCCCGACACCCCCAUCCUCUAGAGUGGCGGGAAUAAAGGAUAAGCCUCAUUGGGUGUGCAGCCCGGAGACCCGAGCGCGCGGGGGCAUGGCUGGGCAUCCCCUCCCUCUCCAGCUCCAGAGACAGCGCACCCUCCGGCCUCGGGAGCAGCGGCGCCCAGCGAUCCCGCGCAGGGCUCUCCUAGGCCGCCAGUGACAUCACGGGCGAAGCGGAUUCCAGGCGCCCGGCUCCUGGUUUUGAGAGACGUAGGUCGGUUAGUCCGUCUCUGUCUGUGGGCCGCUGAAGAGGGCUCAUCGCCGGUUCCGCGCCGCGGGGCGACAGGACCCGGAGGAGGAGGGAGAGCGAAGGCGGCGAGGGAAGGAGGACCCCGGCAGGCGACAGCAUGCAGUUCAGGCCGGCGCACUUCCCGCGGCCUCUCCUGCUGGGGCUGGGCCUCAGCGCCAGAUACCCAGAGACCUAAGUGGGAACGUCAGUCGCGAGCUGGGCUGUGGUACAUUUGCGCCCACAUCAUUUCUGUGUCUUCCCAAACUUUUACAUUUUAAGUGCUAAAAAAUCAAUUUUCACAUUUAAGUUAUUCAAACAGGCCAUUUCCCUGCAUGGUAACUCUCUCUAUCUCUCUAUGAGAAGAGAGGAGUAAAACUCCCAUAGUCAUGAGUGUCCUCUGGCUCUUCCUGGACUGAAAAGCCCUUGAAAGUGUUUUUGUCUACAGUUCUGAAGAAGAAAGAUUUUGGGCAGGCCACACCGGAAACUGUUUCUCCUUCUGGCACAACUGCUCUGUGGCAUAUAGAAGACUGGAAGUUUGAUGCUUGCUUUUCUUUGUAACUGUGACACCAAAGUGCCGAUGGCUGGGCUUUAGCUUCUGUAUCCAGUGUAAAGUGCCAACAGGGAGAACAUGAAAGGCUAAAUUGAGAACAGCAACUUCAGAAAACUGAAAUCAUUUGGGUAGGCAGAGCUUGAUUUUUCUACUAGGAUGAUUUACUUCCUGAACAUUCUAAAAAUAAAUGUAUGAAAUGUCAGACAUAUCCUGUGAAAUAUAGUCAUAGAAGUAAAGAAAAUAUUUUAAAAUACACGUGC